This 497-nucleotide ribosomal RNA is filed under the name uncultured bacterium. RNAcentral's name for it is "partial 16S ribosomal RNA". It matches the Rfam family "Bacterial small subunit ribosomal RNA", at positions 28 to 507 of the family's 1533-position model. The record is from RNAcentral.
GAUGAACGCUGGCGGCGUGCCUAAUACAUGCAAGUCGAGCGAACGGACGAGAAGCUUGCUUCUCUGAUGUUAGCGGCGGACGGGUGAGUAACACGUGUAUAACCUACCUAUAAGACUGGGAUAACUUCGGGAAACCGGAGCUAAUACCGGAUGAUAUUUUGAACCGCAUGGUUCAAAAGUGAAAGACGGUCUUGCUGUCACUAAUAGAUGGAUCCGCGCUGCAUUAGCUAGUUGGUAAGUUAACGGCUUACCAAGGCAACGAUGCAUAGCCGACCUGAGAGGGUGAUCGGCCACACUGGAACUGAGACACGGUCCAGACGCCUACGGGAGGCAGCAGUAGGGAAUCUGCCGCAAUGGGCGAAAGCCUGACGGAGCAACGCCGCGUGAGAGAUGAAGGUCUUCGGAUCGUAAAACUCUGUUAUUAGGGAAGAACAGAUGUGUAAGUAACUGUGCACAUCUUGACGGUACCUAAUCAGAAAGCCACGGCUAACUACGUG